UUCUGUUUUGCUCAUGCUGCCUCCCUUAUCGC
Molecule: non-coding RNA, 32 nt
Filed under: Syntrophotalea carbinolica DSM 2380
Lineage: Bacteria; Pseudomonadati; Thermodesulfobacteriota; Desulfuromonadia; Desulfuromonadales; Syntrophotaleaceae
Source: RNAcentral